RNAcentral lists this ribosomal RNA (1920 nucleotides) under Triticum aestivum (bread wheat). RNAcentral describes it as "partial small subunit ribosomal RNA". The record is from RNAcentral. Lineage: Eukaryota; Viridiplantae; Streptophyta; Magnoliopsida; Poales; Poaceae.
AUGCUGUUCACAUUCUCUCUCAGAGAUGCUGCUAAGGACUCGUACUAUUCUUUGCCAUCAAGAUCAUACACUUGGGGUGAUAUUUCACAAGCUUUCCUGCACAGAUAUUUUCCACUUUACAAGCAAGCUGCAAUUCGUGACCAGAUCCUCAGUUUUGCGCAAGAUGGAAGUGAGAGCUUGUAUGCAGCUUGGGAGAGAUAUAAGUAUUUGCUUAGAAAAUGUCCUAAUCAUGGGCAAAAGGAUUGGUUAGUGCUCCAGAUAUUCUAUAGAGGGAUGACACAUGCUUCGAGAGAUCUUAUUGAUAUGUCAGCUGGUGGAACAAUCAUGAACAAGACCGUUGAGGGUGCAAUUAUUCUCAUUGAGAGCAUUGCCUUCCACCAAAUGCAAUGGGGUUGUGAAAGGCCUAGUUCAAAUCCGAAGGUUGCAAGCCAUCUGCAAUCAGAAGCUGUGUGUUCCAUAAGUGAACAGAAAUCAUCCAUGGUGCCUAAUAUUCAAAACCAGCAUGUUCCAUUCCGGGGACAACAACAUUUCAGAGCUGAAUUAGAUCCUCCAUGUAGAAAGAUUGAUCUUACUUCAAGUAUCCUUGAUGAUGAUUAUGAUAUUUUUCAAGAUGAUGCAACCAUUGUAGAUCGGAUGGAAACCACAGUAGCAGAUCCAAUACCUCAUGGCAAUGAAACUGUCCAGAUUGAGUCAAAGUUGCAAGAAGAUGUUUAUGAGGAACCUACUCUGAUUGAUGCUAAGUUGAGACAGCAAGAUAUGGAGAAAUUCACUUGUGUUAGUCAACUAUGUGACUCGUGGAAUUUAGUCGUGGCACCAAUUGCCCACACUUGUGUUACAACUGUAUCUGGGAUAUUUGUCAAGAAGAAAUCAUUAGCUCCACCGGUGGUUGCCUCUAUCUCAGUUAAAGAGAGUAUCUUAGAGAAGAAUAGUGAAGAUGAGAUUCCAACUCCUGCACAUACAUCUAAGCAAGUCGGAGACAUUCCAAGGAGAGAGAUAGUUGAGUCAAAUUUAGAAGAGUUGAUACUUCAAUAUCCUGAGAAGAUCCCACGUGUUGCUGAGCUGCAUGACUGGUGGAAGUCAUCAGUGUCAGUGUUGAAACUUAGCAGUGAUGGUGAUGAGGAGAAUAUUGCUCAGAAAGACAGCGAGGUAGUGAUCUCAGCACCCCUACCAGAUCAUGUUAGUGCAUAUUCACAGAUGGGGACACUUCAGACUCAAUUAGGUGUUGCUGGUAGUAGCACCAUAGAAGAUCCAGAGGAAGAGAGAUCUCAACUUGAAGAAGAAAUACUCGAAGAGGAGGAACAAGAUGAUCCAGAGCUCGAACAACCAAGUGAUCAAGUUGAAGAUUCAUCAUCUACUACUCUUGAAGAAGCAAAAGAAGUUGUUGUAGAUGAACUUGAAGAACCAGAAAUUCAUUUGCCUAUUGUCAUACAAGAGCGUGAUGUAGAAGGUUUAUCUAAUCCUCUUGAUGACAUGCGUCCCUAUGACUUAUUUGCUUCUACCUUGCAUUACAUAAUACCAUCAAUUAAGGUAGAUUUGAGAAAGUAUUUGCUUGGAUAUGAUGAUAUAUACCAUGUUCAUGGCAUUGCUCACAUUUGUUACGAUUACACUUAUUUUCCUCAUGCUAGACCCAUGCUUAAUGAAACAUGUCAUUCUCAUGUUAGUCUGGAGCUUAAUGAUUCAUAUCAUCUUCAUGCUAGCAUUGAGCUUACUGAUUUCUACCAUUCUAAACAUGUGCUUUAUAGCUAUGCUUAUGUAAUUGGGUACUCUAUUGAUGAUUUAGAGGGCAUCUACCCUAUCACUUGUAGUUGUUGUUUGUGUGAGUCCUAUUUCAGGUUUUUGCUUGUGCAUGAAUCAAUACAUGCUGACCAGGUUCGAGGUGACAUCCCUUGGGAUCCUGGUGGAGUCAGAGCAUGGCGAUGA